GGAGGGUGCAAGCGUUAAUCGGAAUUACUGGGCGUAAAGGGCGUGUAGCCGGGAAGGCAAGUCAGAUGUGAAAUCCCCGGGCUCAACCUGGGAACUGCAUCUGAUACUGGCAAGCUUGAGUCUCGUAGAGGGGGGUAGAAUUCCAGGUGUAGCGGUGAAAUGCGUAGAGAUCUGGAGGAAUACCGGUGGCGAAGGCGGCCCCCUGGACGAAGACUGACGCUCAGGUGCGAAAGCGUGGGGAGCAAACAGGAUUAGAUACCCUGGUAGUCCACGCCGUAAACGAUGUCGACUUGGAGGUUGUGCCCUUGAGGCGUGGCUUCCGGAGCUAACGCGUUAAGUCGACCGCCUGGGGAGU
Molecule: ribosomal RNA, 355 nt
Filed under: uncultured bacterium
Lineage: Bacteria
Description: bacterial SSU rRNA
Rfam family: Bacterial small subunit ribosomal RNA
Source: RNAcentral